GUGGGUAUGGCUCAGUGGUGCAGUGUGGACUUAGCAUGAGGGAGGCCCUGGGUUCAAUCCCCAAUACCCAAA
This 72-nucleotide transfer RNA is filed under the name Marmota monax (woodchuck). Its description in RNAcentral is "tRNA.Ala". The record is from RNAcentral. Lineage: Eukaryota; Metazoa; Chordata; Mammalia; Rodentia; Sciuridae.